Molecule: ribosomal RNA, 456 nt
Filed under: uncultured bacterium
Lineage: Bacteria
Description: bacterial SSU rRNA
Rfam family: Bacterial small subunit ribosomal RNA
Source: RNAcentral
GACAACGGCUGGCGGCGUGCUUAACACAUGCAAGUCGAACGGGAGUAUUGAAGAAGCUUGCUUUAGAGAUACUUUAGUGGCGGACGGGUGAGUAACGCGUGAGGAGCUGUCCGAUGCAGGGGGACAACAGUUGGAAACGACUGCUAAUACCCCAUAAGCCGAGAGGUAAAAGGAUUUAUCCGGCAAUGGAGGUACUCGCGUCCUAUCAGCUAGUAGGUGAGGUAACGGCUCACCUAGGCGAAGACGGGUAGCCGGCCUGAGAGGGCGAACGGCCACACUGGAACUGAGAUACGGUCCAGACUCCUACGGGAGGCAGCAGUGGGGAAUAUUGGGCAAUGGGGGGAACCCUGACCCAGCGACGCCGCGUGGGUGAAGAAAUCCUUCGGGAUGUAAAGCCCUGUUGUAUGGGAAGAGCGGAAGACGGUACCAUACGAGGAAGCCCCGGCAAACUACGUG